AACUAUGAUGAGGCGUUGCGUCCUAAAGGUUGUUAAUUGGCAUUUGGGAUUCAAGAUUUCCAGUUUCUCUCUAGUUGAUUGUGAAGUUGGAUCCUAUUAUGCAUCAGGAUACAAAUGUCAUGGUUUAAUUGGUGGUCAUCUACAUGGAUUACUGCCAAGAGCAUAUGCAACUGCUUUUGCUAAGUUGUCAGAAGACCCGCGGCAUGCUAAUUCUGUAUCUGAUAUGUUAAUUGAUUCUUUUGGAAGGAUGCACACUUACUUGAGGAUCUCCUUGACUGAACGUUGCAAUUUAAGGUGUCAGUACUGUAUGCCAGCUGAGGGUGUGGAGCUUACUCCUAACCCUAAAUUACUGUCACAGAACGAGAUUGUUCAUUUGGCAAAUCUCUUUGUCAGUUCAGGAGUGGAUAAAAUUCGUUUGACUGGUGGUGAGCCAACAGUUAGGAAGGAUAUUGAAGAGAUAUGCUUACGGCUAUCUAAAUUGAAAGGACUCAAGACGUUGGCCAUGACUACCAAUGGAAUUGCUCUUGCAAGGAAACUUCCAAGGCUGAAAGAAUGUGGGCUUACUUCUAUAAAUAUCAGCUUGGAUACAUUGGUCCCAGCUAAAUUUGAAUUCAUGACCAGGCGUAAGGGGCAUGAAAAGGUCAUGGAGUCGAUUAAUGCUGCUAUAGACUGUGGGUACAACCCUGUAAAAGUAUGUGCCUUUGCAAUUUUGUGCUCCUUUCCUUUUUUUUCCCUUCCAAAUUUUGC
RNAcentral lists this unclassified non-coding RNA (747 nucleotides) under Hevea brasiliensis (rubber tree). Lineage: Eukaryota; Viridiplantae; Streptophyta; Magnoliopsida; Malpighiales; Euphorbiaceae. The record is from RNAcentral.